CCUACGGGAGGCAGCAGUGGGGAAUAUUGGACAAUGGGCGAAAGCCUGAUCCAGCAAUGCCGCGUGAGUGAAGAAGGCCUUCGGGUUGUAAAGCUCUUUUACCCGGGAAGAUAAUGACUGUACCGGGAGAAUAAGCCCCGGCUAACUCCGUGCCAGCAGCCGCGGUAAUACGGAGGGGGCUAGCGUUGUUCGGAAUUACUGGGCGUAAAGCGUACGUAGGCGGCUUUGUAAGUCAGAGGUGAAAGCCCACGACUCAAUCGUGGAACUGCCUUUGAGACUGCUUCGCUUGAAGAUGGGAGAGGUUAGUGGAAUUCCGAGUGUAGAGGUGAAAUUCGUAGAUAUUCGGAAGAACACCAGUGGCGAAGGCGGCUAACUGGACCAUUCUUGACGCUGAGGUACGAAAGCGUGGGGAGCAAACAGGAUUAGAUACCCUGGUAGUCCACGCCGUAAACGAUGAUAACUAGCUGUCGGGGCUCUUGGAGCUUCGGUGGCGCAGCUACGACAUUAAGUUAUCCGUCCGUCGGGUAGGUACGGCCGCGAACGGUUAAACGUAACAAUAGAAGUUAGUACGGCGUGAGACGUGCCGACGGACGACGACGAGGGAGUAGG
This 609-nucleotide ribosomal RNA is filed under the name uncultured bacterium. Its description in RNAcentral is "bacterial SSU rRNA". The stretch from base 1 to 518 matches the Rfam family "Bacterial small subunit ribosomal RNA", at positions 338 to 873 of the family's 1533-position model. The record is from RNAcentral.